This 389-nucleotide ribosomal RNA is filed under the name uncultured bacterium. RNAcentral describes it as "bacterial SSU rRNA". It matches the Rfam family "Bacterial small subunit ribosomal RNA", at positions 28 to 417 of the family's 1533-position model. The record is from RNAcentral.
GACGAACGCUGGCGGCGUGCUUAACACAUGCAAGUCGAGCGGUAAGGCCCUUUCGGGGGUACACGAGCGGCGAACGGGUGAGUAACACGUGGGUGACCUGCCCUCAGCUCUGGGAUAAGCCUGGGAAACCGGGUCUAAUACUGGAUAUGACUCCAUGACGCAUGUUGUGGGGUGGAAAGCCUUGUGCGGCUGAGGAUGGGCCCGCGGCCUAUCAGCUUGUUGGUGGGGUGANGGCCUACCAAGGCGACGACGGGUAGCCGGCCUGAGAGGGCGACCGGACCACACUGGGACUGAGACACGGCCCGGACUCCUACGGGAGGCAGCAGUGGGGAAUCUUGCGCAAUGGGCGAAAGCCUGACGCAGCGACGCCGCGUGAGGGAUGACGGCCU